RNAcentral lists this ribosomal RNA (476 nucleotides) under uncultured Saprospiraceae bacterium. RNAcentral describes it as "bacterial SSU rRNA". It matches the Rfam family "Bacterial small subunit ribosomal RNA", at positions 28 to 505 of the family's 1533-position model. Lineage: Bacteria; Pseudomonadati; Bacteroidota; Saprospiria; Saprospirales; Saprospiraceae. The record is from RNAcentral.
GAUGAACGCUAGCGGGAGGCUUAAUACAUGCAAGUCGAACGGUAACAUGGGACUUCGGUCUUGAUGACGAGUGGCGCACGGGUGAGUAACGCGUACACGACCUACCUUACACUGGGGCACAUACACUGGAAACGGAGUAAAUACCCCAUAGUAUUAUGGAUUUAAUUUGUAAUUAAAGUUUCGACGGUGUAAGAUGGGUGUGCGUACUAUUAGGUAGUUGGUAGGGUAACGGCCUACCAAGCCGACGAUAGUUAGGGGGCGUGAGAGCGUGGUCCCCCACACGGGUACUGAGACACGGACCCGACUCCUACGGGAGGCAGCAGUAAGGAAUAUUGGACAAUGGGCGAAAGCCUGAUCCAGCCAUCCCGCGUGAAGGAUGACGGCCCUCUGGGUUGUAAACUUCUUUUGUAUGGGACGAAACGCCUUCAUUUAUGAGGGCCUGACGGUACCAUAAGAAUAAGCACCGGCUAACUCCG